AGUGAACGCUGGCGGUAGGCCUAACACAUGCAAGUCGAACGGCAGCACAGUAAGAGCUUGCUCUUACGGGUGGCGAGUGGCGGACGGGUGAGGAAUACAUCGGAAUCUACUUUUUCGUGGGGGAUAACGUAGGGAAACUUACGCUAAUACCGCAUACGACCUACGGGUGAAAGCAGGGGAUCUUCGGACCUUGCGCGAUUGAAUGAGCCGAUGUCGGAUUAGCUAGUUGGCGGGGUAAAGGCCCACCAAGGCGACGAUCCGUAGCUGGUCUGAGAGGAUGAUCAGCCACACUGGAACUGAGACACGGUCCAGACUCCUACGGGAGGCAGCAGUGGGGAAUAUUGGACGAUGGGCGCAAGCCUGAUCCAGCCAUACCGCGUGGGUGCAGAAGGCCUUCGGGUUGUAAAGCCCUUUUGUUGGGAAAGAAAAGCAGCAGGUUAAUACCCCGCUGUUCUGACGGUACCCAAAGAAUAAGCACCGGCUAACUUCGUG
Molecule: ribosomal RNA, 492 nt
Filed under: uncultured bacterium
Lineage: Bacteria
Description: partial 16S ribosomal RNA
Rfam family: Bacterial small subunit ribosomal RNA
Source: RNAcentral